UGAAUACGAGAUGCUACGGCGUCGAAGCUGUCUAUGUCAUACUUCCAAGAAAAGCUUGCACUGUCAUAAACAAAUAAUGCCUGUACCAUAACCGACACAGGUGGGUAGGUAGAGUAUACUAAGGGGCGCGAGAUAACUCUCUCUAAGGAACUCGGCAAAAUGACUCCGUAACUUCGGGAGAAGGAGUGCCUUAUUUAUAAGGUUGCAAUAACAAGACCCAAGCAACUGUUUAUCAAAAACACAGGUCUCCGCUAAGUCGUAAGACGAUGUAUGGGGGCUGACGCCUGCCCAGUGCCAGAAGGUUAAAGAAGUUGGUUAGCAUUAGCGAAGCUGAUGACUGAAGCCCUGGUGAACGGCGGCCGUAACGAUAACGGUCCUAAGGUAGCGAAAUUCCUUGUCGGGUAAGUUCCGACCCGCACGAAAGGCGUAAUGAUUUGGGUACUGUCUCAGAGAGGGACUCGGUGAAAUAGACUUGUCUGUGAAGAUGCGGGCUACCUGCACCUGGACAGAAAGACCCUAUGAAGCUUUACUGUAACCUGAAAUUGAAAUUGGACUUUAUUUGCGCAGUAUAGGUGGGAGGCUUUGAAGAUAUUCUUGCGGGAAUGUUGGAGCCAUCAGUGAGAUACCACUCUUGUAAUGUUAGAUUUCUAACUUUGUAUCAUUAUCUGGUCAAAGAACAGUUUCAGGCGGGCAGUUUGACUGGGGCGGUCGCCUCCUAAACGGUAACGGAGGCGCACAAAGGUUUCCUCUGAACGGGUAGAAAUCGUAUCUAGAGUGUAAAGGCAUAAGGAAGCUUGACUGUGAGACCUACAAGUCGAGCAGGGACGAAAGUCGGUCUUAGUGAUCUGACGGUGCUGAGUGGAAAGGCCGUCACUCAACGGAUAAAAGUUACUCUAGGAUAACAGGCUGAUCUCCCCCAAGAGUUCACAUCGACGGGGAGGUUUGGCACCUCGAUGUCGGCUCAUCGCAUCCUGGGGCGGUAGUACGUCCCAAGGGUUGGGCUGUUCGCCCAUGAAAGCGGUACGCGAGCUGGGUUCAGAACGUCGUGAGACAGUUCGGUCCAUAUCCGGUGUAGGCGUUAGAAUAUUGAGAGGAGCCUUCUCUAGUACGAGAGGACCGAGAAGGACACACCUCUGGUGUACCAGUUAUCGUGCCAACGGUAAACGCUGGGUAGCUAUGUGUGGAGCGGAUAACCGCUGAAAGCAUCUAAGUGGGAAGCCCACCUCAAGAUAAGUAUUCUCAUC
This 1244-nucleotide ribosomal RNA is filed under the name metagenome. RNAcentral's name for it is "bacterial LSU rRNA". It matches the Rfam family "Bacterial large subunit ribosomal RNA", at positions 1564 to 2818 of the family's 2925-position model. The record is from RNAcentral.